Molecule: long non-coding RNA, 1208 nt
Organism: Polypterus senegalus (gray bichir)
Lineage: Eukaryota; Metazoa; Chordata; Cladistia; Polypteriformes; Polypteridae
Exons: 3
Source: RefSeq, a predicted model, not a curated record
AAUGAAAACCUGCAGCCACUGGGGACUUCCAGGACCAGAGUUGGACAACCCUGCUCUACAGCAUGAUCAGAAAAGUCAGAGUAUUUAAGUCUGCUAGAGUGUUUUUUAGGUAUGUGCCAGUGAUCAUGAGUCCUGUGCUGUGUUUCCAGUCCCUAUGUUAGUGGCACAAAUCAUCAUGCAGUUGUCCCACUACAGUGCCAAGAAGCUGCCCAGUGAUGGCGUUUGACCCCAACCCUUCAGAUCCAUGCCCUAAAACCCUGGAUUUCCCAAAAAGAGCGUCAUUACUGGCUUGGGAAACCUCUGGACGGAGCUCCACUAGCAGCGACAGCUUCCAGAACUUUAUUUAAUGGAAGUCCCAUAUACAGGACAUACACCAAAAAGCAUAUUUUUCUUUUUUGUUUAUUAGCUUUGUCCUCAAACAAUAAUAGGGAUGAACCAGUUGUCACCCCAAAAUUUCACUGUCUGCAGAGCUGUCAUUCUUGCACCCAGCCACAGUAUAUAUUAUAGCAAUCAUCUGUAUGGAACAACUAAGAAAGAAGGAUAAUUGGAUUGGAUUGAAAUAACAAAAAAGUAAAAAGUUUUAUUCUUCUUAAUGGUUAAAAUAAAAUAAAAAAGCCACACACAAUAGUGUGUUUAGCAAUAUUUCAAUAAGAAAAGAAAAAGGUUGUAACUAUUUACAUCACUGGCUAAGGGAUAAUUUGUCUGAGUAUCAUGUAUUUGUGUUAAAGAUCUGAACUUAUCACUGGAGACCAGAACAUGUCUUAGCAUGACAUAUAUACAGGUCGAGGUCAUUUCAUCUCAAGCACUUGGAGAAAGAGGAUGGCAAACAUGUCGAACUGUGAGUUUACCUAGAAAGUGACAAAUUGGAAGCAUCUGUUGUGAACUGGAGUCCCAAAGCACCCAAAUUAAAAAAAUAAAUAAAUAAACUUGCUUAACUACUUCAAAUAUAGCCCACUAGAGGGUGAUAUACUGCCAAACACCAGCUAGAUAAACAGGCAAACACAGAAACUGCAUAAGAAAAAGAAAAAGGAUUUAUUUUUCACAGAAAUGUUAUGCCACACCGUUAAGCUCUGUAGGACCUCCACACAGCGCAUCCUGUAAUGGCGCCUUCAUGUGCCAAAAAGUAGAGGCCAUAAAUAUGGAAGAUCAUUCAGGUAUGGUUAAUGUUAUAGUCCAGGGGUGGCAAACUCCAGGCCUGGAGUGCCGCA